Molecule: long non-coding RNA, 205 nt
Filed under: Nicotiana benthamiana
Lineage: Eukaryota; Viridiplantae; Streptophyta; Magnoliopsida; Solanales; Solanaceae
Description: long non-coding RNA (NBEN_LNC033287)
Source: RNAcentral
CCCUUUGCCGCGCCCUAAUGCCAUGACAAGUCUGUCCCGCCAUUGCUUUCCGUUGCACUUUAGCCUGCCUUUGUCCCUUAAUUUUUGCCUUGCCUUGCCUUGGCAUCACUGCCUCAUGUCUUGAUGUAUUUGCUAUGAUCAAGUGUCACAUUCAAUCCGCAUUUCAUUGUCAAGCUCUUGCAAAGCUGUUUUGUCUCCGUCAAAG